UGGGGUGUGGCCAAGCGGUAAGGCAACGGACUUUGACUCCGUCAUUCGUUGGUUCGAAUCCAGCCACCCCAG
Molecule: transfer RNA, 72 nt
Filed under: hydrocarbon metagenome
Description: tRNA-Gln
Rfam family: tRNA
About the family: Transfer RNA (tRNA) molecules are approximately 80 nucleotides in length.
Source: RNAcentral